Molecule: ribosomal RNA, 429 nt
Filed under: Gemmatimonadota bacterium
Lineage: Bacteria; Pseudomonadati; Gemmatimonadota
Description: Gemmatimonadetes bacterium partial 16S ribosomal RNA
Rfam family: Bacterial small subunit ribosomal RNA
Source: RNAcentral
UAGGGAAUCUUCGGCAAUGGACGAAAGUCUGACCGAGCAACGCCGCGUGAGUGAAGAAGGUUUUCGGAUCGUAAAACUCUGUUGUUAGAGAAGAACAAGGACGUUAGUAACUGAACGUCCUCUGACGGUAUCUAACCAGAAAGCCACGGCUAACUACGUGCCAGCAGCCGCGGUAAUACGUAGGUGGCAAGCGUUGUCCGGAUUUAUUGGGCGUAAAGCGAGCGCAGGCGGUUUCUUAAGUCUGAUGUGAAAGCCCCCGGCUCAACCGGGGAGGGUAAUUGGAAGCUGGGAGACUUGAGUGCAGAAGAGGAGAGUGGAAUUCCAUGUGUAGCGGUGAAAUGCGUAGAUAUAUGGAGGAACACCAGUGGCGAAGGCGGCUCUCUGGUCUGUAACUGACGCUGAGGCUCGAAAGCGUGGGGAGCAAACAGG